RNAcentral lists this ribosomal RNA (2184 nucleotides) under Klebsiella oxytoca. RNAcentral's name for it is "23S ribosomal RNA". It matches the Rfam family "Bacterial large subunit ribosomal RNA", at positions 657 to 2819 of the family's 2925-position model. The record is from RNAcentral. Lineage: Bacteria; Pseudomonadati; Pseudomonadota; Gammaproteobacteria; Enterobacterales; Enterobacteriaceae.
AUAGGGGAGCCGCAGGGAAACCGAGUCUUAACUGGGCGUUAAGUUGCAGGGUAUAGACCCGAAACCCGGUGAUCUAGCCAUGGGCAGGUUGAAGGUUGGGUAACACUAACUGGAGGACCGAACCGACUAAUGUUGAAAAAUUAGCGGAUGACUUGUGGCUGGGGGUGAAAGGCCAAUCAAACCGGGAGAUAGCUGGUUCUCCCCGAAAGCUAUUUAGGUAGCGCCUCGUGAACUCAUCUUCGGGGGUAGAGCACUGUUUCGGCUAGGGGGUCAUCCCGACUUACCAACCCGAUGCAAACUACGAAUACCGAAGAAUGUUAUCACGGGAGACACACGGCGGGUGCUAACGUCCGUCGUGAAGAGGGAAACAACCCAGACCGCCAGCUAAGGUCCCAAAGUCAUGGUUAAGUGGGAAACGAUGUGGGAAGGCCCAGACAGCCAGGAUGUUGGCUUAGAAGCAGCCAUCAUUUAAAGAAAGCGUAAUAGCUCACUGGUCGAGUCGGCCUGCGCGGAAGAUGUAACGGGGCUAAACCAUGCACCGAAGCUGCGGCAGCGACACUUAUGUGUUGUUGGGUAGGGGAGCGUUCUGUAAGCCGUUGAAGGUGGCCUGUGAGGGUUGCUGGAGGUAUCAGAAGUGCGAAUGCUGACAUAAGUAACGAUAAUGCGGGUGAAAAACCCGCACGCCGGAAGACCAAGGGUUCCUGUCCAACGUUAAUCGGGGCAGGGUGAGUCGACCCCUAAGGCGAGGCCGAAAGGCGUAGUCGAUGGGAAACAGGUUAAUAUUCCUGUACUUGGUGUUACUGCGAAGGGGGGACGGAGAAGGCUAUGUUGGCCGGGCGACGGUUGUCCCGGUUUAAGCAUGUAGGCGGAUGUUCCAGGUAAAUCCGGAACGUCACUAACGCUGAGGUGUGAUGACGAGGCACUACGGUGCUGAAGUGACAAAUGCCCUGCUUCCAGGAAAAGCCUCUAAGCAUCAGGUAACAUCAAAUCGUACCCCAAACCGACACAGGUGGUCAGGUAGAGAAUACCAAGGCGCUUGAGAGAACUCGGGUGAAGGAACUAGGCAAAAUGGUGCCGUAACUUCGGGAGAAGGCACGCUGAUGGUAGGUGAAGUGACUUGCUCAUGGAGCUGAAAUCAGUCGAAGAUACCAGCUGGCUGCAACUGUUUAUUAAAAACACAGCACUGUGCAAACACGAAAGUGGACGUAUACGGUGUGACGCCUGCCCGGUGCCGGAAGGUUAAUUGAUGGGGUUAUCCUCGCGGAGAAGCUCUUGAUCGAAGCCCCGGUAAACGGCGGCCGUAACUAUAACGGUCCUAAGGUAGCGAAAUUCCUUGUCGGGUAAGUUCCGACCUGCACGAAUGGCGUAAUGAUGGCCAGGCUGUCUCCACCCGAGACUCAGUGAAAUUGAACUCGCUGUGAAGAUGCAGUGUACCCGCGGCAAGACGGAAAGACCCCGUGAACCUUUACUAUAGCUUGACACUGAACACUGGUCCUUGAUGUGUAGGAUAGGUGGGAGGCUUUGAAGUGUGGACGCCAGUCUGCAUGGAGCCGUCCUUGAAAUACCACCCUUUAAUGGCUGGUGUUCUAACGUGGGCCCCUAAUCGGGGUUGCGGACAGUGUCUGGUGGGUAGUUUGACUGGGGCGGUCUCCUCCUAAAGAGUAACGGAGGAGCACGAAGGUCAGCUAAUCCUGGUCGGACAUCAGGAGGUUAGUGCAAUGGCAUAAGCUGGCUUGACUGCGAGCGUGACGGCGCGAGCAGGUGCGAAAGCAGGUCAUAGUGAUCCGGUGGUUCUGAAUGGAAGGGCCAUCGCUCAACGGAUAAAAGGUACUCCGGGGAUAACAGGCUGAUACCGCCCAAGAGUUCAUAUCGACGGCGGUGUUUGGCACCUCGAUGUCGGCUCAUCACAUCCUGGGGCUGAAGUAGGUCCCAAGGGUAUGGCUGUUCGCCAUUUAAAGUGGUACGCGAGCUGGGUUUAGAACGUCGUGAGACAGUUCGGUCCCUAUCUGCCGUGGGCGCUGGAGAAUUGAGGGGGGCUGCUCCUAGUACGAGAGGACCGGAGUGGACGCAUCACUGGUGUUCGGGUUGUCAUGCCAAUGGCAUUGCCCGGUAGCUAAAUGCGGAAGAGAUAAGUGCUGAAAGCAUCUAAGCACGAAACUUGCCCCGAGAUGAGUUCUCCCUGAC